RNAcentral lists this ribosomal RNA (506 nucleotides) under uncultured bacterium. Its description in RNAcentral is "partial 16S ribosomal RNA". It matches the Rfam family "Bacterial small subunit ribosomal RNA", at positions 29 to 523 of the family's 1533-position model. The record is from RNAcentral.
AUUGAACGCUGGCGGCAGGCCUAACACAUGCAAGUCGGACGGUAGCACAGGGGAGCUUGCUCCCCGGGUGACGAGUGGCGGACGGGUGAGUAAUGUCUGGGAAACUGCCCGGUGGAGCGGGAAUACUACUGGAAACGGUAGCUAAUACCGCAUAACGUCUUCGGACCAAAGUGGGGGAACUUAGGGCCUCACGCCACCGGAUGUGCCCGCAUGGGAUUAGCUAGUAGGUGGGGUAACGGCUCACCUAGGCGACGAUCCCUAGCUGGCCUGAGAGGAUGACCAGCCACACUGGAACUGAGACACGGUCCAGACUCCUACGGGAGGCAGCAGUGGGGAAUAUUGCACAAUGGGCGCAAGCCUGAUGCAGCCAUGCCGCGUGUAUGAAGAAGGCCUUCGGGUUGUAAAGUACUUUCAGCGGGGAGGAAGGCGGUGAGGUUAAUAACCUCGCCGAUUGACGUUACCCGCAGAAGAAGCACCGGCUAACUCCGUGCCAGCCGCCGCCGUAA